RNAcentral lists this unclassified non-coding RNA (490 nucleotides) under Hevea brasiliensis (rubber tree). Lineage: Eukaryota; Viridiplantae; Streptophyta; Magnoliopsida; Malpighiales; Euphorbiaceae. The record is from RNAcentral.
CUUGACUAUACGAGCACUAGAAUAAGCAUAGGUCCAAAUAAAGAUCUCAGACACAAUGUAAUUUGUGCGGAAUAGAUCCUUCAGGCAAAUGAUCACAGGAAUUUCUUCAUAGGUAAAAUAUGGACUAACAAGUUCAAUGCCACAAAGAAACUAGCACAUUGCAAUGAGCACAAAUUGUAGAUUUCCUUCCACAAAAAUGAUUUAACUUCUACUCUUGUUUGUUUUGGCCUCUUCUCUAUUGCUAAGGUAUCCAGCAUAUCAUCAAGGUAAAGAAAGAAACAAACAACAUGAAAAUGGCAGAGGGAACUGCAUGUAAAAAAGCAAAGACAGGAUAAGAGUGAUUUGCAGUUGAGUCUGACAGUAGGCAGGAAAAGGUAAUCUUUAAGAGGUAUUGAGUUUAAAAAAGAGAUUCCAGAAAAUAUAAGUUUCCCUAUAGUGCAUGAAUUCUAGUACAUACAUUACAAUCCAGGUGGUAGAUUCUUGUACAAGG